Molecule: ribosomal RNA, 253 nt
Filed under: uncultured bacterium
Lineage: Bacteria
Description: partial 16S ribosomal RNA
Rfam family: Bacterial small subunit ribosomal RNA
Source: RNAcentral
UACGUAGGGUGCGAGCGUUGCCCGGAUUUAUUGGGCGUAAAGGGCGCGUAGGCGGCCACGCACGUCCGUUGUGAAAUCGCCCGGCUCAACUGGGCGGGGUCAGCGGAUACGGUGUGGCUAGAGCAAGCUAGGGGGCAAUGGAAUUCCCGGUGUAGUGGUGGAAUGCGUAGAUAUCGGGAGGAACACUAGUGGCGAAGGCGGUUGCCUGGAGCUUUGCUGACGCUGAUGCGCGAAAGCGUGGGGAGCGAUCCGG